CCUACGGGUGGCAGCAGUGGGGAAUAUUGCACAAUGGGGGAAACCCUGAUGCAGCGACGCCGCGUGAGUGAAGAAGUAAUUCGUUAUGUAAAGCUCUAUCAGCCGGGAAGAAAAUGACGGUACCUGAGUAAGAAGCCCCGGCUAACUACGUGCCAGCAGCCGCGGUAAUACGUAGGGGGCAAGCGUUAUCCGGAUUUACUGGGUGUAAAGGGGGCGUAGACGGCAGUGCAAGUCUGGAGUGAAAGGCGGGGGCUCAACCCCCGGACUGCUCUGGAAACUGUACGGCUGGAGUGCAGGAGAGGUAAGUGGAAGUCCUAGUGUAGCGGUGAAAGGCGUAGAUAUUAGGAGGAACACCAGUGGCGAAGGCGGCUUACUGGACUGUAACGGACGUUGAGGCUCGAAAGCGUGGGGAGCAAACAGGAUUAGAUACCCCUGUAGUC
This 440-nucleotide ribosomal RNA is filed under the name uncultured bacterium. RNAcentral describes it as "partial 16S ribosomal RNA". It matches the Rfam family "Bacterial small subunit ribosomal RNA", at positions 338 to 795 of the family's 1533-position model. The record is from RNAcentral.